ACACGCUCCAAUCGAUAAUUUUUCUUUGUACACUUCCGACCAUUUUUCACGAUUUGUGCGGGGUUUCUUCUGGAAAAUUUGUUGAAAAUUGCUGAAAACGCAAUUCAGCUUUGUGCAUACCGAAAAAUUUAAUUUCACACGGCGUUUCUAUAUUCGCUGCAAGGUUGAAAAAAUUUCACACUUUGUCUCUGAUAUUGAUAUAAUUAUCGAAUUGCAGGUCAUCUUGAUAGGGGAGAAUUGCUUAUAAUGGCUAAUAAUAAUUACGCUGGUUUCAGUUAUGGUGGUACCCAGUAUACUUCCACCGGUACCGGCUAUAACCCAGGGCAGGUGGCUUACCCUGCCGUAACCAACGCAACGUACGCAAAUGCUGCAGCUUACCAAACUGCUGCAGUUGCUGGUCAAAGUGGUUAUGCAGCUGCAGGCGCUUCUGGAGCUAGCGGCUAUGCAGGCUACGGCGAUUACAGUCGUUCUAUGCCUGCAUAUGACGCCUCAAAAACGUUUUAUCAACAAGCGCCAGCUAGCUACAACACUGCACCAGCGGCUACGGUUAGUAAGACUCAUUAUUCGGCUCCCCCUGUUAAAAAUGUAAAUGCCGGGGCAAAAGCUGCCGGAGCGAAAGAUAAAGCAGUUAAAGUAGCAGCAGCUCCAGCCGCUACUACUACUGGCGCUGUUAAUGCUUACAGUAAUUAUGAGUCUGCACUGUAUAGUGCCGCUUCAAUGUAUGUUGCUCAACAGCAACAUCAAACGGGCACUGUUAAGCCGAAUACUAAUGGGGCUUCAACCCCUGGCUGGCAGUAUCGCGCCCAGAAAGGUGCUGGAGCUGGCGGUGCAAAUGCAGCUCGCCCACGUACUAAGCCUCCGCCGCGUCCGCAGCAGUUACACUACUGCGAAGUAUGCAAAAUUUCAUGUGCAGGCCCACAAACUUAUCGUGAACAUUUGGAAGGCCAAAAGCACAAGAAGAGAGAGGCAUCCUUGAAAAUGCAAGCUUCGGCUCAAUCUGCUGCUCAAAAUCGCGGUAACAACUACCACUGCGAACUGUGUGAUGUAACAUGCACCGGAACAGAUGCUUAUGCUGCUCAUGUACGCGGCGCAAAGCAUCAGAAGGUCGUUAAACUCCACCAAAAACUUGGUAAACCAAUACCACCCGAUGAGCCAAAGAAGUUAUCUAAAAUAAAUUUCGUACCAGCCAGUGGAACCACUGAGAAAGCAAAACCCACAGAAGGAGAAAAUACAACCGCUGCAGAUAAUGAUAACCAUGAUGAUGUUGCUGGUGGUGAAGAAAACACUGAUAAUAUUAAACCAGUUGGAGGCGAGUAUAUUGAGGAAAUAAAAGAUGAUGAGGGCAAGAUUUUGAGCUUUAAUUGUAAGCUAUGUGAUUGCAAAUUCAAUGAUCCUAAUGCAAAAGAAAUGCACAUGAAGGGGCGUCGACACCGUCUACAAUACAAACGAAAAGUUCAACCAGACUUAGUUGUCGAUUUUAAACCGACACCACGUCAAAGGCGUCUGGCAGAAGCGCGUGCUCAGCGCGCUCUAAUUCAAUCACAUCGCGGUGGUAAUGUAAGUUUCGGCGAUGAUCAUGAAAGCGGCGGUGGAAUGUAUUGGGAUGAACAGCGUCGUCGGGCACAGUACGAUGACGAGUACGAUUACAGUAAUUGGUUGGCACGCAGCUUUGCAGGUGCUCAGCGUGGCUUUGGCGGUCGCAUGGGUAAUGGUCCACCACCAUUCUUUGGUAUGAUGCCUGGUGGUGGCGGAAAUAUACGCCGUCCAGAGAGUACUGAUGAUCGUCACGCUAUUGCACGCCAUGCUGAGAUCUAUCCUAAAGAGGAAGAGUUGCAAACUAUUCAACGUAUUGUAUCGCAUACUGAACGUGCACUGAAGUUUGUCUCCGACAAAUUUGCUGAAAAUCCAGAUGAAAAGGGACCAGCAAACAAAAAAGAAAAGCAAGAUAGUGCCCAAGUAAAGGAUGGUCGCGAUAAUCAAAUGUUGUCAUUCCAAAAAGAGGCUGACAGUGGCAAUGUACGCAUUCUGAAGGGUGUUAUGCGUGUUGGAUUUUUGGCCAAAGGCCUUUUAUUGCAGGGCGAUAAUUCCGUAGAAUUGGUGGUUUUAUGCUCUGAAAAGCCAACUGUUGGACUACUAAAACGUGUGGCUGCUGAGUUGCCAGCUAAACUAAAGGAAGUAGCAGCUCUCCACGGAAUAUACAUGCCAUUGAGAUUGGUAUUUCAGUUUUGUGAACAGGACAUUCGACUUCACUCUACUUCACUUUUCUUAUGGUGCGGGUACGCGUCCGGGUACUCCUCCUUCAUAGUAUCUUUCUUUUUCGCGCUGUUUGUUGCUGGACUGGAACUUGAACGGCGAAAAUCCCGUCGAUUAUGUCGUCGAAGUGGUGGCUCAAGAGUCCGCCGUUUUUGUGCGUGAUGAUGUGGUAUCCGUAAAGAUAUCACUUACUUCGCCUCUAUUGCGUGAAGUUUCUCAAGAUGGUAAAACUGAUGCCGCUAAUACUAAAGGCGGUACUGGUGAUGCUGCACCUUUGCCACGAGAACCGUGUCUCAGGGCUUUAGCCGAGUUGCGUCAUGC
RNAcentral lists this unclassified non-coding RNA (2574 nucleotides) under Rhagoletis pomonella (apple maggot). Its description in RNAcentral is "zinc finger RNA-binding protein 2, transcript variant X2". Lineage: Eukaryota; Metazoa; Arthropoda; Insecta; Diptera; Tephritidae. The record is from RNAcentral.